GAUGAACGCUAGCGGGAGGCUUAACACAUGCAAGUCGAGGGGGCAGCACGGGUAGCAAUACUUGGUGGCGACCGGCAGACGGGUGAGUAACGCGUAUGUAACCUACCCCAUACAGAGGGAUAACUCGAAGAAAUUCGGACUAAUAUCUCAUAAGACCACACGAGGACAUCCGAGAGUGGUUAAAGUUCCGGCGGUAUGGGCUGGGCAUGCGUAACAUUAGCUAGUUGGUAAGGUAACGGCUUACCAAGGCUUCGAUGUUUAGGGGUCCUGAGAGGGUGGUCCCCCACACUGGUACUGAGACACGGACCAGACUCCUACGGGAGGCAGCAGUGAGGAAUAUUGGUCAAUGGGCGCAAGCCUGAACCAGCCAUCCCCGCGUGCAGGAAGACGGCCCUAUGGGUUGUAAACUGCUUUUCCAGGGGGCGAAUAGCUCUUACGUGUAAGGGUAUGACUGUACCUUGGGAAUAAGCAUCGGCUAACUCCGUG
This 486-nucleotide ribosomal RNA is filed under the name uncultured bacterium. RNAcentral describes it as "bacterial SSU rRNA". It matches the Rfam family "Bacterial small subunit ribosomal RNA", at positions 28 to 507 of the family's 1533-position model. The record is from RNAcentral.